GNAGCUCAGUGGUAGAGUGCUCGCCUAGCAUGUGUGAGACACUGGGUUCAAUUCUCAGCAUCACA
This 65-nucleotide transfer RNA is filed under the name Marmota monax (woodchuck). Its description in RNAcentral is "tRNA.Ala". It matches the Rfam family "tRNA", at positions 7 to 64 of the family's 71-position model. Rfam says of the family: Transfer RNA (tRNA) molecules are approximately 80 nucleotides in length. Their secondary structure includes four short double-helical elements and three loops (D, anti-codon, and T loops). Further hydrogen bonds mediate the characteristic L-shaped molecular structure. tRNAs have two regions of fundamental functional importance: the anti-codon, which is responsible for specific mRNA codon recognition, and the 3' end, to which the tRNAs corresponding amino acid is attached (by aminoacyl-tRNA synthetases). tRNAs cope with the degeneracy of the genetic code in two manners: having more than one tRNA (with a specific anti-codon) for a particular amino acid; and 'wobble' base-pairing, i.e. permitting non-standard base-pairing at the 3rd anti-codon position. The record is from RNAcentral. Lineage: Eukaryota; Metazoa; Chordata; Mammalia; Rodentia; Sciuridae.